AGCAGAAGAGGAGAGGAGGUUGUGUAGGACAAGCUGCUCCCGACAGAAGGAUGUCGCUGCUGAGCCUGCCCUGGCUGGGCCUCAGACCGGUGGCAACGUCCCCAUGGCUACUCCUGCUGCUGGUUGUGGGCUCCUGGCUACUCGCCCGUGUCCUGGCUUGGACCUAUGCCUUCUAUAACAACUGCCGUCGGCUCCAGUGUUUCCCACAGCCCCCAAAACGGAACUGGUUUUGGGGUCACCUGGGCCUGCUGCCAUUGCGCCCAAGGAUGAUCUCUCCAUCAGGUUCCUGAAGCCCUGGCUGGGAGAAGGGAUACUGCUGAGUGGCGGUGACAAGUGGAGCCGCCACCGUCGGAUGCUGACGCCCGCCUUCCAUUUCAACAUCCUGAAGUCCUAUAUAACGAUCUUCAACAAGAGUGCAAACAUCAUGCUUGUGAGUCCCUUGAACUCGGUCCCAGCUGGAGUCUUGGGGUGGAGGGACCAUGGACACAUCUGGUCUGGAAUUUUGGCUCUUCUGGGUGGCACUGGGCCAUUGCUCUUCCUCUCUGAGCCUUGGUUUUCUCAUCUGCAAAAU
This 571-nucleotide small RNA is filed under the name Pongo abelii (Sumatran orangutan). Its description in RNAcentral is "retained intron". The record is from RNAcentral. Lineage: Eukaryota; Metazoa; Chordata; Mammalia; Primates; Hominidae.